Leptosomus discolor (cuckoo roller) is the source of this 474-nucleotide non-coding RNA. NCBI's taxonomy places the organism in Eukaryota, Metazoa, Chordata, Aves, Leptosomiformes, Leptosomidae. The record is from RefSeq and is a predicted model, not a curated record.
AGGAGGAAGAUCUGGACUCAGAAAAUGAGAAGCUGGUGGUGAGAGAGCCGGAAGAUGAGGAUGCUGCAGAUGAGACAUUCUCUUUUAAAUAUAGUCCUGGAAAGCUGAGGGGAAACCAGUACAAGUCAAUGAUGACCAAAGAGGAACUCGAGGAAGAACAAAGGGUUCAGAGAGAGCAGCUGGCUGCCAUCUUCAGGCUCAUGAAGGAAAAAAGUGACACAUUUGGAGAGAUGUCUGAAGGAGACAUGAAGGAGCAGCUUAGACUGUAUGAUAUAUAACCUUGCAGGCAGUGGAGACUAUGACCAAAAGUCAUCUUGGCCCUUACCAUGCAGGACACCGGAGGCUGUAGUGCUAUAAACGUGUUUCGGUAGUUAUUUUGCAGUUCCAGUUUGUUUUGCAAAUGUAUAUAAGCCUGUGAUAUGUAUUUCAAAAGACCUGUAAUUUCUCACUUUUUAAAUCAUUUUUCCUUAAAGA